This is a non-coding RNA of Ictidomys tridecemlineatus (thirteen-lined ground squirrel), 69 nucleotides long. The record is from Rfam. NCBI's taxonomy places the organism in Eukaryota, Metazoa, Chordata, Mammalia, Rodentia, Sciuridae.
GGGGCUGUAGCUCAGCGGUAGAGCACUUGUCUCUCAUGUGUGAGGUACAGGGUUCGAUCCUCAGCACCA